This 560-nucleotide ribosomal RNA is filed under the name fungal endophyte. Its description in RNAcentral is "eukaryotic LSU rRNA". The stretch from base 207 to 360 matches the Rfam family "5.8S ribosomal RNA". Lineage: Eukaryota; Fungi. The record is from RNAcentral.
GUAACAAGGUCUCCGUUGGUGAACCAGCGGAGGGAUCAUUAACGAGUUCCAUUCUCCUUAAUACACCCGUGAACGUUUCUUCAACUGUUCGUUGCUUCGGCGGGCGGCCCCGGGGAGGGGCCGCAGCCCGCAAGGGCGCCCGCCGGCGGCAGCGCAGCACAACUCUUGCGAUUUAGGCCCCUCUGAGAAGACACUAAAUGAGUCAAAACUUUCAACAACGGAUCUCUUGGUUCUGGCAUCGAUGAAGAACGCAGCGAAAUGCGAUAAGUAAUGUGAAUUGCAGAACUCAGCGAAUCAUCGAAUCUUUGAACGCACAUUGCGCCCGCCGGCAUUCCGGCGGGCAUGCCUGUUCGAGCGUCAUUUCAACCCUCGAGCCCUGCUCGGUGUUGGGGCCCCGCGGCCGCCGCGGGCCCUGAAAAGAAGUGGCGGGCGCGCCUGGACCCGUAGCGCAGUAAUACACCUCGCUCGCGGCGUCCCGGCGCGUGCCGGCCGUAAAACCCCUUUAUCUCAAGGUUGACCUCGGAUCAGGUAGGAAUACCCGCUGAACUUAAGCAUAUCAA